GUGUGACUGCGUACCUUUUGUAUAAUGGGUCAGCGACUUAUAUUCUGUAGCAAGGUUAACCGAAUAGGGGAGCCGAAGGGAAACCGAGUCUUAACUGGGCGUUAAGUUGCAGGGUAUAGACCCGAAACCCGGUGAUCUAGCCAUGGGCAGGUUGAAGGUUGGGUAACACUAACUGGAGGACCGAACCGACUAAUGUUGAAAAAUUAGCGGAUGACUUGUGGCUGGGGGUGAAAGGCCAAUCAAACCGGGAGAUAGCUGGUUCUCCCCGAAAGCUAUUUAGGUAGCGCCUCGUGAAUUCAUCUCCGGGGGUAGAGCACUGUUUCGGCAAGGGGGUCAUCCCGACUUACCAACCCGAUGCAAACUGCGAAUACCGGAGAAUGUUAUCACGGGAGACACACGGCGGGUGCUAACGUCCGUCGUGAAGAGGGAAACAACCCAGACCGCCAGCUAAGGUCCCAAAGUCAUGGUUAAGUGGGAAACGAUGUGGGAAGGCCCAGACAGCCAGGAUGUUGGCUUAGAAGCAGCCAUCAUUUAAAGAAAGCGUAAUAGCUCACUGGUCGAGUCGGCCUGCGCGGAAGAUGUAACGGGGCUAAACCAUGCACCGAAGCUGCGGCAGCGACGCUUAUGCGUUGUUGGGUAGGGGAGCGUUCUGUAAGCCUGUGAAGGUGUACUGUGAGGUAUGCUGGAGGUAUCAGAAGUGCGAAUGCUGACAUAAGUAACGAUAAAGCGGGUGAAAAGCCCGCUCGCCGGAAGACCAAGGGUUCCUGUCCAACGUUAAUCGGGGCAGGGUGAGUCGACCCCUAAGGCGAGGCCGAAAGGCGUAGUCGAUGGGAAACAGGUUAAUAUUCCUGUACUUGGUGUUACUGCGAAGGGGGGACGGAGAAGGCUAUGUUGGCCGGGCGACGGUUGUCCCGGUUUAAGCGUGUAGGCUGGUUUUCCAGGCAAAUCCGGAAAACUAAGGCUGAGGCGUGAUGACGAGGCACUACGGUGCUGAAGCAACAAAUGCCCUGCUUCCAGGAAAAGCCUCUAAGCAUCAGGUAACAUCAAAUCGUACCCCAAACCGACACAGGUGGUCAGGUAGAGAAUACCAAGGCGCUUGAGAGAACUCGGGUGAAGGAACUAGGCAAAAUGGUGCCGUAACUUCGGGAGAAGGCACGCUGAUAUGUAGGUGAAGUCCCUCGCGGAUGGAGCUGAAAUCAGUCGAAGAUACCAGCUGGCUGCAACUGUUUAUUAAAAACACAGCACUGUGCAAACACGAAAGUGGACGUAUACGGUGUGACGCCUGCCCGGUGCCGGAAGGUUAAUUGAUGGGGUUAGCGCAAGCGAAGCUCUUGAUCGAAGCCCCGGUAAACGGCGGCCGUAACUAUAACGGUCCUAAGGUAGCGAAAUUCCUUGUCGGGUAAGUUCCGACCUGCACGAAUGGCGUAAUGAUGGCCAGGCUGUCUCCACCCGAGACUCAGUGAAAUUGAACUCGCUGUGAAGAUGCAGUGUACCCGCGGCAAGACGGAAAGACCCCGUGAACCUUUACUAUAGCUUGACACUGAACAUUGAGCCUUGAUGUGUAGGAUAGGUGGGAGGCUUUGAAGUGUGGACGCCAGUCUGCAUGGAGCCGGCCUUGAAAUACCACCCUUUAAUGUUUGAUGUUCUAACGUGGACCCGUAAUCCGGGUUGCGGACAGUGUCUGGUGGGUAGUUUGACUGGGGCGGUCUCCUCCUAAAGAGUAACGGAGGAGCACGAAGGUUGGCUAAUCCUGGUCGGACAUCAGGAGGUUAGUGCAAUGGUAUAAGCCAGCUUGACUGCGAGCGUGACGGCGCGAGCAGGUGCGAAAGCAGGUCAUAGUGAUCCGGUGGUUCUGAAUGGAAGGGCCAUCGCUCAACGGAUAAAAGGUACUCCGGGGAUAACAGGCUGAUACCGCCCAAGAGUUCAUAUCGACGGCGGUGUUUGGCACCUCGAUGUCGGCUCAUCACAUCCUGGGGCUGAAGUAGGUCCCAAGGGUAUGGCUGUUCGCCAUUUAAAGUGGUACGCGAGCUGGGUUUAGAACGUCGUGAGACAGUUCGGUCCCUAUCUGCCGUGGGCGCUGGAGAACUGAGGGGGGCUGCUCCUAGUACGAGAGGACCGGAGUGGACGCAUCACUGGUGUUCGGGUUGUCAUGCCAAUGGCACUGCCCGGUAGCUAAAUGCGGAAGAGAUAAGUGCUGAAAGCAUCUAAGCACGAAACUUGCCCCGAGAUGAGUUCUCCCUGACUCCUUGAGAGUCCUGAAGGAACGUUGAAGACGACGACGUUGAUAGGCCGGGUGUGUAAGCGCAGCGAUGCGUUGAGCUAACCGGUACUAAUGAACCGUGAGGCUUAACCUU
Molecule: ribosomal RNA, 2354 nt
Filed under: Escherichia coli
Lineage: Bacteria; Pseudomonadati; Pseudomonadota; Gammaproteobacteria; Enterobacterales; Enterobacteriaceae
Description: bacterial LSU rRNA
Rfam family: Bacterial large subunit ribosomal RNA
Source: RNAcentral